UAAAUUCAAUAGAAAAUCUUUAGAGGGAGCUGAAACUCCUUGUUUCUCAGCGACAGCCCAGAAACCUGUCUGAUCUAGAGAUCUGUGUGGAGGAGUGGGCCGAAAUCCCUCGUGCAGUGUAUGCAAACCUGGUGGACAACUACAGCAAACAUUUAACCUCUGGAUUUGCAAAAAAAGGCUACUAUACCAAAUAUUAACAUUGGUUUUCUCAGGUGUUCAAAUACUUAUUUGCAGGUGUAUUACACAAAUAAUCGUUAAAAAAAUCAUACAUUGUGAUUUCUGGAUUUUUCUUUUUAGAUUAUCUCUCUCACAGUGGACAUGCACCUACGAUGACAAUUUCAGACCCCUCUGUGAUUUCUAAGUGGGAGCACUUCAAAUACGUAUUUUCUUCACUGUAUAGGUUGGCUUGGGAAGAAGAAGUGGGAUAUUGAGAGGACUGAGGAGAGGCGAAAGGAGUACAUUGAGAUGCGACGUAGGGCAAAGGUAAAGGUGGCAAAGGCUAAACAAGAGGCAUAUGAAGACAUGUACACCAGGUUGGACACGAAAGAAGGAGAAAAGCAUCUCUACAUGUUGGCCAGACAGAGGGAUAGAGAUGGGAAGGAUGUGCAGCAGAUUGUCUGGCUCUGGAGUAGGAGUACCUGUCCUGGUGGGAUUUCUUCCACUGAUGUAGCUCCUCCUCUUCUCACUGACUGCCACCUCCACACUAUGGCUCUGGCACUUGGCAGCUCUCCUGACCAAUCACAGACUUCUUCCGCUAUUCCGCUAAUACAAGUCUAACCGGGUAAAUAGUGUGAAGAUCCAUGCCGGAGUGAUUCAUGGAAGUGUGCACGCUUCGAUGAAAAACCAAAACUACAAAGUCGAGGUCUAUCUACAAAAAGCUCCAGCCCAGGCUGUGCGGGUGCCCGCGCGGUUGUGCUGAUUGGGAGGCGCACACCUGCACCUCAUGCGGGCUGAUUAUCCUGUGUAUUUAUAUGACCGCGAUGACGACUGGUCUGGGCCAGAUCAUUGAGGUUCAUGUCCCGUUCCAGCACAGUAUCCCUGAUCGUCAACCCGUGUGUACCGACCUUCGCCUGUUCUCCGACCGACCCUGUAUCCUUGGCGCUCUCUCAUUGGUCUCCUUUGCUCCGCCGGAUGUUGGCCCGACUCCUCCCCUACAGAAUCGCGUGCUGGCUCCUCCUGGUGGUGGUUUCCUG
Syngnathoides biaculeatus (alligator pipefish) is the source of this 1193-nucleotide long non-coding RNA. RefSeq lists it as uncharacterized. NCBI's taxonomy places the organism in Eukaryota, Metazoa, Chordata, Actinopteri, Syngnathiformes, Syngnathidae. The transcript is spliced from 4 exons. The record is from RefSeq and is a predicted model, not a curated record.